UGGACAGAUUAUUGUAUUCAACUGUAUUCACGGCAAGAAAUAGAGGAUUACACUGUUUUUAAAACGGAAAGUGAAUCAAUUAACAUAAUAGAUUCCU
RNAcentral lists this microRNA precursor (97 nucleotides) under Nicotiana attenuata. RNAcentral describes it as "MIR6152 microRNA precursor family". It matches the Rfam family "MIR6152 microRNA precursor family". Lineage: Eukaryota; Viridiplantae; Streptophyta; Magnoliopsida; Solanales; Solanaceae. The record is from Rfam by way of RNAcentral.